Molecule: ribosomal RNA, 902 nt
Filed under: Cellulosimicrobium cellulans
Lineage: Bacteria; Bacillati; Actinomycetota; Actinomycetes; Micrococcales; Promicromonosporaceae
Description: bacterial SSU rRNA
Rfam family: Bacterial small subunit ribosomal RNA
Source: RNAcentral
GCGGUUUUUUCGCUUUCUGGGGGAAAACUUGAAGCCCACCCUCGAGCUUUCCUUCGGCUCCGGGCAGACUAGAGUGCGGUAGGGGAGACUGGAAUUCCUGGUGUAGCGGUGGAAUGCGCAGAUAUCAGGAGGAACACCGAUGGCGAAGGCAGGUCUCUCGGCCGCAACUGACGCUGAGGAGCGAAAGCAUGGGGAGCGAACAGGAUUAGAUACCCUGGUAGUCCAUGCCGUAAACGUUGGGCACUAGGUGUGGGGCUCAUUCCACGAGUUCCGUGCCGCAGCAAACGCAUUAAGUGCCCCGCCUGGGGAGUACGGCCGCAAGGCUAAAACUCAAAGGAAUUGACGGGGGCCCGCACAAGCGGCGGAGCAUGCGGAUUAAUUCGAUGCAACGCGAAGAACCUUACCAAGGCUUGACAUGCACGGGAAGCCACCAGAGAUGGUGGUCUCUUUGGACACUCGUGCACAGGUGGUGCAUGGUUGUCGUCAGCUCGUGUCGUGAGAUGUUGGGUUAAGUCCCGCAACGAGCGCAACCCUCGUCCCAUGUUGCCAGCGGGUUAUGCCGGGGACUCAUGGGAGACUGCCGGGGUCAACUCGGAGGAAGGUGGGGAUGACGUCAAAUCAUCAUGCCCCUUAUGUCUUGGGCUUCACGCAUGCUACAAUGGCCGGUACAAAGGGCUGCGAUACCGUAAGGUGGAGCGAAUCCCAAAAAGCCGGUCUCAGUUCGGAUUGGGGUCUGCAACUCGACCCCAUGAAGUCGGAGUCGCUAGUAAUCGCAGAUCAGCAACGCUGCGGUGAAUACGUUCCCGGGCCUUGUACACACCGCCCGUCAAGUCACGAAAGUCGGUAACACCCGAAGCCCAUGGCCCAACCGUUCGCGGGGGGAGUGGUCGAAGUGUACCACA